This is a long non-coding RNA of Quercus robur (English oak), 493 nucleotides long. RefSeq lists it as uncharacterized. The transcript is spliced from 3 exons. Lineage: Eukaryota; Viridiplantae; Streptophyta; Magnoliopsida; Fagales; Fagaceae. The record is from RefSeq and is a predicted model, not a curated record.
UGUUCAGGUACCGACCGGCACCGACGAAACCGGUCGACGCCGAACUGAUCCGACCGCUUCACAAGCCCACCGUAGAUGUCCGACGCGGUGGUCGGCGACGAUCUGGACAAACCGAAGACGUCUGGUGCGGCAAGCGGUGGCUGUUUUGCACUCCGACGAGAAACCGCACCGCACCAAUUGAAGAAAACCCAGAGAAGCCAUGAAAGCAAAUGCAAGGAAUAGGAAGAAGAAGAAACGGCGCUGGACUUAACAUAAGGAUAGUCCCAGUAAGUCAACAACGAAAGUCCUCAACCUCCGUCGCUUGCUGCCACCGCUUACUGCCACCGCAAUCUAGUGCUUGAUGCCGUGUUUUUUGGAGUUUCACCCUCUCCUCUCUCCUCUUUGUCAUAAUAUUUUCAAGAGUUUCUAGUGAUGAUUCUGACUUCAGAUGCUCUUCCUUGCAAAUGUAAUGCUUUCUACCAGGUUUGUUUAUGUAAUUUAUUUUCAAUGGUUU